Molecule: ribosomal RNA, 526 nt
Filed under: uncultured bacterium
Lineage: Bacteria
Description: partial 16S ribosomal RNA
Rfam family: Bacterial small subunit ribosomal RNA
Source: RNAcentral
UGGGGAAUAUUGGACAAUGGGCGCAAGCCUGAUCCAGCCAUGCCGCGUGAGUGAUGAAGGCCUUAGGGUUGUAAAGCUCUUUCGCCGACGAAGAUAAUGACGGUAGUCGGAGAAGAAGCCCCGGCUAACUUCGUGCCAGCAGCCGCGGUAAUACGAAGGGGGCGUANCGUUGUUCGGAAANCACUGGGCGUAAAGCGCACGUAGGCGGAUUGUUAAGUCAGGGGUGAAAGCCUGGAGCUCAACUCCAGAACUGCCCUUGAUACUGGCAAUCUCGAGUCCGGAAGAGGUAAGUGGAACUGCGAGUGUAGAGGUGAAAUUCGUAGAUAUUCGCAAGAACACCAGUGGCGAAGGCGGCUUACUGGUCCGGUACUGACGCUGAGGUGCGAAAGCGUGGGGAGCAAAACAGGAUUAGAUACCCUGGUAGUCCACGCCGUAAACGAUGGAGGCUAGCCGUUGGCGAGCAUGCUCGUCAGUGGCGCAGCUAACGCAUUAAGCCUCCCGCCUGGGGGAGUACGGUCGCAAGAUU